UUAUCUUCUUCUCCAAGAAAAAAUUUAAACACAUGAAAAAAUUUUUGAGUAAUUCUUUAUUUUUAUUUGUAUCUGUUUUUGGUGUUAGAAAUGAGCCUAGGACCUUGUUGCAUACUGAGCAAACCUUCCACCACCGAGCUUCAUCCCAGCCCAGGUAAUCCUUAUCUAAAAUGUCCAUCAUAUUGCAGAACUUCUGUGGAUAGGAGAGAUUCAGUAUCUUAGUUACUAUUGUGAAAAAAAGACUACAUACCAAGAAUUUUGAAAUACAACUUUUAUUAUCCUCUGAAAUCCAUAUGCAGGAAGUUUCAACAUAUCAGUAUCCAAUGUUCUCUUUUAUACACAACUUAUAUAAGGGCACAUCCCAAGAUUCAGGCAGCCUCUCCAUAAAUCUGAUCUACAGGAGAGGAAGGGCCUUAAAAGGGAACAGAUUUCAUUAUUAUGAAGGUAAAAAUGGACAGUAUUACAUUUAAAACAGAAACAGGUCAACCAUUUGAAGACAAGGAAAGUCAAUAUUCUUGUUUUACAGAACCAAUUGGAGUUAUGUCAUUAAAGAUUAAGUCAGGAAUUCUAAAGUUUGUUCAAAAGAUAAAACACAGAUCCCUCCAUUAGUUGAAUUUUUAAUGUUUGAAGCAAAAACCUCUGUAAAUCAAAUAUAAGGCAUUUUCUUUAUCAAUGUUACAUGGAUAUUUUUAGGCAGUAACUUCAACUCUCCAAAUAAGUUUAACUUGCUGGGGAUGUGGCUCAAGCGGUAGCGCGCUCGCCUGGCAUGCGUGCGGCCCGGGUUCCAUCCUCAGCACCACAUACAAACAAAGAUGUUGUGCCUGCCGAGAACUAAAAGAAUAAAUAUUAAAAUAUUCUCUCUCUCUCUUAAAAAAAGAGAAAUAAGUUUAACUCCUCUUCUUGUUGUGUAGUGUUUUGUAAUGGAGAUGAAAGUUUAAAUAAGUUGAAAUCUUCCUGCAGAAUUUCUCAAGCCCUCCCUUUCUAUUUCCACAUCUGCUCCCCUAGUUCAUUUCCCCUCACUCUAUGUCUGCACGGUGGCUACUUUCAUCCAGACCACCCUCCAUGCCAUUGUCUAUCUUCCCAACAUACUACUGCCUUUAGCACAUGCAUUAUGAGUGGCUAGCCUGUAGUAAUUGCUCAAUAAAUAAUUUUCAUUUGCUUAAAGUAACUCCCCAUUGCCCAAGAGGCAGAGUGACUCUAAACCCUGAAGAUUCAUAAAUCUCUUAGAAGACUGUAGCAUAAUAAAGAAUAUAUUUGAUCUUUUCCCACAUUCCCAGUACAGAGCUCCUACACCCCUUGGAAUUUCCCAGUAGGAGAGCCUAUAAUGCCUAGGAAGAGACUCAGGGUGGGUCUCUACAUGGUUUCGGGAAGGGUGCCAAUUAGCAGGAAAACCAACUAAACACCAGAUUAGAGUGUUAGAAUUUUGGGCCAGCCUGACCUGAGUUAAAAAUCAAAUAAAGGAGAGAAAGGGGCCUAGAGACUGAUUUUCAUCAUGUGGUCAAUGAUGUAUGUGUGUGUGUGUGUGUGUGUGUGUGUAUGAAAUUUCAAUAAAAACUCUGAGGUUCAGUGGAUAUCUCUGAUUAGUUAACUCAGAUUCUAUGGUCCUAAGAAGAUUUUUAGUAAAUCAGUUUUUCAUUAUAGCUACUCUAUACCAAACCAUGCUCUGGUGACUUGAUUUACUUCUAUAGAUUUGAGUAAUAACUACUUAUUACUAUCUCUGUUCUGCUUCCACCCCAAUCAGUUCUGACACUAUCUACCUAGAGUUGGCACAGACUCCAUAAGUUAGGUGUGCCUUGAGAGUGCAUGUAUCCUCAGCACCAGGAGGGUGGGUUCCCUGAGUCCACAGCAUGAGAGUAUGGGACCUCUGUGUCCUCUCCCUGACCUUGCCCUGUGUAUCUCUUUGUUUGGCUUUGUGGGAAAUGGAAAGUAGAGUGGUCCAUCUUCGCAAUGUGGUAUUUAGCCUUAAAUGUAAAAUUGGGAUGUAGAAUCUAUGUGUAGUCAUUUUGAGCUUCCAACCUGUAUCCAAUCGUAGCUUUUUUAACUACAGCUCUUCCCAAUUUUAUAAUUACACAAUCAUGUAGAUUGUAACCCUGAGCUCCUCCUAUCAGAACAAGGGGCAGUGCCUGUUAGGGAUAAAAAGGCGGGCUACUCGCCCAGGUGUGCUUGCUUGCACAUCCUUCUGCAAAAGUAAAGUGUACCUUGCCAAGUAAUUUUUGAGCUUGAUUUCUUUUGGUACUCCAAUGUUUCUAAUACCUCUUUCUUGAAAUAUGUCCUUUAAUGAUAAAGUUAUAAUCAUAAAUAUAGUACUUUCUUGGGUUCAGAAUAUUCAAGUGAAUUAUCAUGGUAACCCCAUGGUGGCCAGUAGGUCAAAAGUAUGAGUGGCCUGGGGACUUCCUAAGACUUGUGACUGUCAUCUGAAGUGAGGGCAAUCUCAUGGAGGUCUAUGAUCCUAAACUUGUGGAGCCUUUGCCAACUCUGGGUAGCUAAUGUUAGAAUUGAAUGGAAUGGAAAUAACAGAGACAGUAUUAAGUAGCUAUUAGAGUAAUCUAUGGAAGUCACCAAAGCAUGGUUUUGUAUAACAGAGCUGUGAUGUGGUGGAAAAAUGAUUUACUAAAGGCCUCCCCGGGACCUCAACACGAUAAUACUUCUUCCUGUAAUCUAGCUCACAAAGGACCUGCUAGGAUGACCUCAGGCUUAGGAAUCAUUCCUAUGAGUCAUUGGAAGACAAGAGGAGUCAAAAUAUUUUGACUAGCCCAGGGCAAGGUAUUUCUGAUGUAUUGUGAUCUAUGUUCUGAAUUCCGUGGGGUCCUGCUAAUGGUUUAUUUUGGCAGAAGAGAAUAGAAGUGGCUUAGUUUCUCUGAAAAACAUUCAACUUAGCCCAACAUCCAAGACUGACUGUUGAGUUGCGAGUAAGUGUUCAUGCUAUACAUAAAGAUUUGAAAUCCUCUGCUCUGUCUGCAUCCUAGAUAGCAAUUCUAAGAAGAGUCAUGUGGCUGGUACGGGAAAUUACACUGCAUGGAGUGCCCUCCCACUAUUUCUUGCUUUCUAAGCUUUUCCCAUUUUGGCAAUAUAAUAACAGCAACAGAGGGGAAAGAAAAGAGAAGUCAUGAGGUACGGAGCACCUACUGCAUACUAGGCAUGGGAUAAAUGCUUCCACUUAUGUUAGCUUAUUUAAUCCCCAUAAUCUUCUAGAAGAAUGGGUAUUAUUAUCACCACUUUGUGGACACUUAAAAGGGAUCAGAAUUCCCUGAGGUCUCAUAGUAAGUUAAAAAAACAAGCAUUAGCACUCAGGGUUGUCUGCAUCUGAAUUUGAACUCCACACUCUUCUUUAUUGUUUACCAGCUUUGGGCCUCACUAGGGUGUGCCCAAGUCACACUCUGAUGAAAACAAGAUUACCUUCCUCACCUCCUUGCCAGGAGCUGCUGGUUAUCCAUCCUUGAGUAAGGCUAGAGUCAGCUGCUAAACCAGUUUUCCCUGAUAAGUCACAGAUUUCCCCUGGCAGGAUAGCACUGAGAUCUUUUUCAGCCUCCUACCUCAAUGUUAUCUCUUUUAGGCAAAUUGGUGCUAAUUGUGGGACAGGCAGGAACAGGCCAUCAUCACAGCCUCCUAGAGGCCUCCUCUGCACAGUUGCCUGCUCACUGCUGCUUACAGAAUCCUCUUCAACCCCCUGACUCAACUUGGUAGUUGUAGGAGUCAGAGCUGACUUUUCUGGCAAGGACCCGUGACAUCACAUCCUCUCUCUUCCACACAGGACCCCCGUGACAUCACAUCCUCUCUCUCCCCCACAGGACCCGAGCAAGAGCUCAAAAUGUGCUGAAAUCACUCAGGGAGGAUAAGGCUGGGCAUCCUGCAUGAUUAAAUGUCUACUUGUCAUUAGUAAGAGGCUCCACCCAGCCUGGUUGGCUGAAGACCUAAUAUUGGGAGCCUGGAGUAUUGAGCCCAGUGUUCUGGGGUGGGUUGGUGGGGGAGGAUUAAAGAAGUACAAUGAGACCUCCACAGUCUCACUCAGCACCAGCAGAGCUGGCAGUCCAGGAUAGUGUGUUACCUGGGCCAAAAUUUUGAAUACCCUGUGGACUGGGACCUGGGUUGGAGACGGGGAGGAGCCAUUGGCCAUUGAACACCUCCAGCCCAACAUAGUCCCUCUCAUUUCCUAAGAGUUCAUGGCAGUUGAUUUCCCAUGGAAACAAGCAGAAAUCUGCUUUAAUCAUUUGGCAUUUUUAGUUUCCUAAUUUGUAUGGGAACCUAGAGAUACAGACAUAUGGUACAUUCAUUAUCCCAGAAAUCUACAGCUAAAGGGAAAAUAGUUGAAGGCAGUCUUAAAAACUGGAAAUCUUCGGCAGAUGCCUUAAAAUUACUUUUCUUCAUCUCAGGGACUGUCAACAACAGAAGGGUUCUUUCUGUUUCGGCUCAGUACUUCCAGAAGGAUUGGUGUUUGGACUUCUGGUGGGUGCUUCUCCAUGGCCCAUCCCAGCCUGCCAGCUCUUGUGGUUAGAUCUCAGAACCUUGCUCUUAUUUCCUAAACCAGCUUGAGAGGGGAAUGAUGAGAGGCUCAGGUGUCAGCAGACCUGAGGUCUAAUACUGACUCACGACCUUGUUAAUCCUGAGACAUGGGGCUAACCUGAGCUGAUUCAUGUCUUCUUUUCCUCAUCUGAAUAUUUUAUUUAUUCAUCAAACAUCUAUUUUGUGCCAGGCACUGCUUUAGGAACUGAUUAAACAGCAAUGAACAAAAUGGAAUCAUUGUUUUUAUGAGUUUUUAUUCUACUUAGGGGGAGAUAAAUAACAAAUUAAUAGAAGAAAUAAUAUGCCAACUGAUGAUAAGUGUUAUGGAGAACAGUAAAGUAGAGGGAGUAUUUGGGCAAUGAUAAAAUUUAAAGGCUGUUCAGGGAAGUCAUCACCUGUGCCGCUGUUGAAUGAAGAACGUUUUGGGUGGAGACUACCUGGGUUAUUUUUUUUUGGUGGGGGGGGGGCAGCCAAGAGUCUGGUGUGCCUGUAGUUCCUGAGUGCAGAGCUUUGGGCACCUCUAAAGAUGGUGCUAUGGUAACUCUUGUAUUGGAGAGUUUUAAACAGAAGGGUGAUAUGAUCUAAAUUGUGCCAAAGUUACUCUGGCUUCUGUGCUGAGUUGGAUGAAGUGGACAAGUUAGAACAUCACAGUUACCAAAGGGAGACCCCAUGGUUUGUGGCAGGGUAAAAUUGAUGUUGGGUGGUGAGGAGUGGUCAGAUUGUAGUUAGCAUAUUAUUUUGAAAGUAGAAUUGAAAUAGUCUGCUGACAUAUUGUAUGUGGAAGGUGAAAAAAAAAACCCUUAGGAUUACUUUAAUUUUUUAGUGCAUUUCUUGGAAAAACAGAAUGUCCAUUUUCUGUGAUGGUCCAUGGUAUGGAAGGAAUAGUUUUCUAGAUGGGGAGGGAUAGAAAACCUGGAAUUCAGUUGUGGACAUAUUAAAUCUGAGGUACCAAUUAGAAAUCCAAGUGGGGAAUAUGAAAUAUAUUAUUUUAGGAUCAGAAAAAAAGGGAAUUCCUUUCCUGCCCAUUGUUAAGGUUCAUGACCAACAAUCCUGUAAAACAAAAAAAGACAGGAUAAGAGGCUGGAGUUAUAGCUCAGUGGUAGAGCGCUUGCCUAGCAUGUGUGAGGCACUGGAUUGGAUUCUCAGCACCACAUAUAAAUAAAUAAAAAUAAAGUUCUAUCAACAACUAAAAAAAUUUAAAGACAGGUUAAUAAGAGAAAAGCAUAAUAAAUUUAUUUGACCAUAGUUUCACAUGGCAUGGGAGUCUUUAGAAUGAAGACCAAAGACCUGGGGUAAAGCAUCCAUUUCUAUGGUUAGGUUUGAUGAAGCAUGAAUGUCAGUAUAGAUAUGUGACUGGACAAAAACGGGUAUGACAUAAUAAGAAUCAACCAGGGAAAGGAAAGUCCAGCAAGGCCUGUACUUCAGGUUCUUCUUGGUCUCACUAUGGGGCAAGACACUUUCUAGAAUGGGAAGGGGGUUCUGAUGUAUAAUAAAGUUGGUCAGAGAAUUUCUUUAUGGCCAACUCUUACAGAAAAAGGCAGGAGAAUUUUAGGGUAAUAAUUUUAGGUUUUUAUGGCUAGAUUUUGGGAAAAGAAGUAAUAGUUUCUAAGACUCAACCUGGGAAAAAAGAAUGCUAGCCUUUAUGGCUUUUUUGGGGGAAACUGAGCCGUGAGAGGCAGGUGGGCAGGAGAAGGUCAGAGAGGAACUUUGCUUCUGAGGCUGCUUCUGUUCCUUCACUUUGGUAUACUGUUUUCUGAGAGCUAGCAUUACCUAUCAGACAGCUGAACUUAUCAAAUUUAAUAAAUCUAAAAGAACGACUGCUUUUAUCUUCAAGAAAAACAAGAGUAGCUAUCUGAUAAGAAGGUAAGCUGAUUAAGUAAAUAGCUUGUUUCUGUGCUUUCCUAGCAUGGGCGCUAUUAUCUCUUUGCAGUUGGGUCUAUAAGCUAGUGGGAUUUCAAAGAUUCAAAAAUUUAAAGCUAAGGAAAGGUCCUGGCACUGAGACAUUCAAUAUAGAAAGCAUAUAUCCACUUCCUACUUACCUAUUCUUUUUUUUAAGGAUAGUUACACACUAGAAUUAGAAACAGAGUACUUAUGCCCAAGGGUAUAGAGAAGGCCAUGGGAUGAGAAGGCUUGUGCUCAUAUCAGUUUGGAGAAUUUUUUUUUUAAAACCUUUGUUUUAUUUGUUUAUUUUUAUGUGGUGCUGAGGAUUGAACCCAGGGCCUCACACGUGCUAGGUGAACACUUUACAAGUUUGGAGAAAUUUUUGAACCCCAAAUGGAGAGUCUUUGAAGGCUGGUGGUGAGUCGCUGGCAGAAAUUAUACUACACUCUUGUAGGGAUGCCAGGUCUGGCUGAUAGCAGGCUUAAUGAAUUGUAGUUUGCUUUCUUUUUCUUAUGAAGAACUCUGCAUUAUUAAUCUUUAUGUUCUUAGUAGAUAUAUAGCAACUGUACUUAUUUCUAUACUUGAAUUUAGUCACUUUAUGCAUUAAUGUUUCUAGGGCAUAAGGGACCUAAGGAUCAGGUCAAGGAAACUGUAAACUUUAUUCUAAAGCAGUACUGCCACCAGAACUUUAAUAUGUAGCGGUAUAUAUUCUAAGUUUUCUAGUAUCAACAUUUUGAAAAGUAAAAAGAAAUGAAAUUAAUUUUAGUAGUAUUUAUUCAACCUAAUGUCAAAAUAUUACUUUCAUGUAAUUAAUAUAAAAAUAUUAACAUAUUUUUCCUUUGAUUGUUUUUUUUUAAAAAAUCAGGUUUUUAUGGCAAUAGAACAUCUCUACUCAAUAAGCCACAUUUCAAAGUCUUACUAGCCACAUGUGACUAGUGGUGGUCAUAUUGGAUAGAACAAUACUAGGGAUAAUAGAGGGUAUUUUCAUUUCAUUUGAAAAUUUAUUUAUUUGUUUACUUUUGAGAAAUGGUGUAUUUUUAGCCAGUCAAGCUCAGAUGUUAAUUGUCCCUUUGCUUUAAGCAGCAGGAAGUUACACAGUUGCUCUUCUAGUACAUGGAGGAAACAGAGGGAGGAUCUUAAAUUUUCACUAAGCUCCACCUCCUCUCCUCAGGUAGAAACACCCACCCAGUGAAGAACACAAGGGCAAGAUCCCUAACACCAACAGUAUAAGUGUAGUCCCUUAUCUAUGAGGAAUAUGUUCCAAGACCCCCAGUGGUGCCUGAAACCAGAUACUACCUUAACCUAUAUAUAUAAUUUUUAUCUGUACAUAUAUGUCACAUAUGAUAAAGUUUAAUUUAUAAAUCAGACCCAGCGAGAGAUUAACAAAAUCUAAAAAUAAAAUAGAACAAAUAUAGCAAUAUACUAUAAUAAAAGUUAUUUAAAAUUUAUGAAUUAUUUGUUUCUAGAAUUUUCCAUUUAAUAUUUUUGGGCUACAGUUGACCACUGUUAAGUAAAACUCUGGAAAAUGACAUUGCAGAUAAGGGGUACCAUGGUGUUGUACCCACAAACUUUUCUUGCAUGGAUAGUUAUGCUAAUAGAUACAUUUAAAAAUGUUACCCCUCUCUGAUUUUUAUGUUAAAAAUCUCCCCAUGAUGAAAAGGCAUAAGAAAGGUGAAUGAGACAUAAAUAACUUGGAACUGGUAACAGGAGGUCUUCUAGGAAAUAGCACACAAAGAAAACAAAAUCAAAGGGAAAACUAGAAAAAUGUAGAGCUUUUAGUCAUAAAAUAAAUUGAAUUUUAAUUUCAUUUCAGUUUAUUAAAUGACUUUGUGUGUUUUGGGAAAUCAGUCAUGUCUUCUACCUUAUGAAAUUCCUCCCUGACCACAAUCAACAUUGUUCUAAGCACUUUAAAAAUAUUAUUUAAUCCUUAUAACAGUCCUAUACCUUUUAUAAUAAGAAGUUUGAAUCUUAGCUCUGUCACUUGCCAUUUAGGAAAUUCUCUGAAUUGGUUAUUUUAAUAUGUAAAAUGUAGAUAAAACAUGACUCAUCUAAUAAGAUUACUGUGAAAAUUAACUUGAGGUCAUGGUGGCACUGUGGCAUACAAUAAACUCUCAAUAUACAUUGCUACUCUUAUUGGUGACAAAUAGCUACUUUGUAAACCUUGAGAUAACAGGUUACAAACACUAUGGUAAGGAGGUCACAGGGUUAGGACCUCUGCUUCUGGUUCACAUAGUGGCUUUUUCUUUAAAGAAUCCACUCUGGUGGGUCCAGUGGAACAAACCAGCUCUUGAGAGACUGAGGAAGGAGGAUGGCAAGUUCAAGACCAGCCUGGACAAUUUAAUGAGGACCUGUUUAAAAGGAAAAAAAAAAUGAAAGUGCUGGGAUGGUAGAGGAUUCCUGGGUUCAAUCUCUAGUACUGCAAGAAAAAAAAAAUCACAGUUUCUUGUCCAUGUACUAGAAAGUUUUGGAGCCUGUAUUAACCUUCAAAGCAUUAGGGAACUCUUAUGUAAGAGUGCCUAAAUCAAGAAUUCACCCCAACCUCACUAACAUUUUUAAAGCAAUUGAUUAAUGAAUAGGAGUACAGGCACAUUAUACAAAAUUCAAGAGAAUAUAAAAUCAGAGAAACUGUAUAGUUUUGCCAGUGUUUUUGUAUACCCAUUAGAGGUAUUGUGUGGAUAUUCAAGUUCUGUCUGUCUCUGUCUCUCACACACACAUACUCACACACCCCUUCAAAUACAAUCUACAUUGCUUAACAACAGGGUUACAUUCUGAGAUGCACAGUUAAGAGAUCUCAUUGUCUGAACAUCACAGAAUGUUCUCGCACAAGUUAAGAUGACUGUGAUGUUACCAGGCAGUCUAAUCCCACAGGGCUGCCAAAGUUUAUAAUUUAUUUUUGACAGAGACAUUGUUAUGUGGCACCUACCUGUACUCAUUUAACAAAUAUACACAAUAUUCUGUUGUUUUUACUGAGAUACCCCCCAAGCUCUAAGCACUUAUAAAGAGUUCUAGUUUAAGAAUAUUGAUUUUCCUGAGGGGCAUCUUCUUAUGGGCUCAUGCUGGCUAUUGACUUUGUUGGUGGUAAGUAUGUCUAAGACUCCAGGGAAGUCAAUAAUCAGGUACAGGGUCUGAAAUAUGGGAAAGAAAAAGGAUCAAGGAAAGGGAGGUAAAGCUUAUGAGUACCUAUUUGUGUCAGGUGUGACUCCAAAAAAAGUUUAAGUGUGCUAUCUUAAUUUUCUCAGCUAAUUUGGAAAAGCUUUAUUAUUUUUCCUCAUUUUGCAGAGGAGAAAACUGAGGUAUAGAAAGAUUAUGUGACUUGCCUGGGGUAACAGUUGGAAAGUUGAGGAGGCAGAAUUCAGACGCAAAUCAGACUGAAAUAAAAAAAAUCCCAAGCCUAGUGACUUAUACCUGGGGAAUGGACAAGAAUAUCAGAUCCCAGGAGGGCAGACAGUGGCUGAAUUCCCAGUUGCUUUGAAUCCUUUAGGAUGGGAAGGGAAAUUAAAUCAGAAAAACUAACAUUUAUGGUAUCCAAAACUACACCAAAUAGGCUAGUCGACAGCCCUUCUCUGUCUCUGCAUCUCUUCAAACAUGUCAACUCUUGAUUAGGACACAUUUUAAGUGGUCAUAGAUGCCAUUUCUGAGACCAGCACACAGUGAUGAUGGCAUUUGUUGGAAGGCAGAUGUUCUGCACUGGGAAAGACCUUAGUCUAUCUAGAGACCUCAUUUCUGUGACUCAGUAAAAAUCUAUGAUAAUUACUUGGGUACUCACUAAGAUUCUUGUAAAUGAAAAUUCCUAAAUUAAAAAAAAAAGUGAAUGUAUUCUUCACUAAUGGUGUUAUUACUAACGGUCUUCAGCAGUCCAAGCCUGUUAGGGCUUAAACAAUAGGCACUUGUUUCUCACAAGUUCCAGAGGUGGACAAGUCCAAAAUCAAGGUACAGCAAUUCAUUUCCUGGCUUGCAGAUGGCUGGCUUCUCACUGUAUCUUUACCUCAAACAGAGCAGGGAGGCAUAGGUAAGCAAGCUGUUAGUAACUUCUUUUCCCCCCCACCCCUUAUGAUUCAUCUAAGCUUAAACACUCCAAGGUCCCCUCCUACUACUAUCACAUCAGGGCAUAAAGUUUCACAUAUGAAUUUCUGGAAGAUAUAAGCAUUCAGUCUGUAACACUAACAAUAGUAAAAAUAAUGCAUUCAGACAGAGCUUAGGUGUUAGCAAAGCAAAUUCACAUCAAUUACCUCAUUUGAACCUCAGGGUUGUUAUCUGUGAGCUAGUUAUUUUUAUUUUCCCUGCUUUACAGAUGAGGAAGCUGAAUUGAGAAGCAUUUGGUGAUUCUCCCAUGGUCACAUGAUAAAGUGGCACUGGUGGCAUGCAAAUUUAGGUCCUCUAAUUCCAAAUCCUGUGUUCUUGCAGCUGCAUUAGGAACAGGCCAUCUGCCCCUCAUAUUAUCAGCAGAAGCAACAAAGAAAGAGCAACUACUGAUAUUUAUUUAGUACUGUGUUAUAUGUCCGUCUCUUUGAAAAUAUUAUCUUUUGUGGUAGAUACUAGUAUUUUCUUUUCUAUCCCAGAGUAAAUCUGAAAUUAUUAGGGUUGAAUAACUUUCCAAGAUCAGAUAGCUGGCACACGAUAGAAUAAGUAUUUGACCCAGGUCUGGCUGAAUGUAUGGAUUAUGUUCUCAUUAAACUGCUCUGCUACAGUGGCCUUUAAAAUGAAAUGCUCUUUGAAACAUGGUAUGUAAGAUGAAAAUAUUGGGCGUAUUUAUCAAGAUUUUAGUUAGAAAUGGAUUUCUUGCCCUUUCAAAGCAUUAGUGUCCUACAAAGUACUCAAUUGAAAGUCCUAUUUUUCCGGCACCACAGAUGGAGGACAGAUGUUUCUUUAUACUCUAAAAGGUCCACUCUCUGUGGCUGACUAGAAUGAGAUUGUAUCUUGUUCUGAAUGUUUCAGAAAAUGGGCAUCAGGCAGAUCAUUUCGAAUGAAAGCCA
This 11354-nucleotide long non-coding RNA is filed under the name Marmota monax (woodchuck). The record is from RNAcentral. Lineage: Eukaryota; Metazoa; Chordata; Mammalia; Rodentia; Sciuridae.